This is a small nuclear RNA of Talpa occidentalis (Iberian mole), 107 nucleotides long. Lineage: Eukaryota; Metazoa; Chordata; Mammalia; Eulipotyphla; Talpidae. The record is from RefSeq and is a predicted model, not a curated record.
GUGCUCACUUCAGCAGCACAUAUACUUUAAUUGUAAUGAUUCAGAGAAGAUUUACGUGGUCUCUGCACGUGGAUGACAUGCCAAUUCAUAAAGUAUUUCAUAGUUUU